RNAcentral lists this ribosomal RNA (441 nucleotides) under uncultured bacterium. Its description in RNAcentral is "partial 16S ribosomal RNA". It matches the Rfam family "Bacterial small subunit ribosomal RNA", at positions 338 to 795 of the family's 1533-position model. The record is from RNAcentral.
CCUACGGGGGGCAGCAGUGGGGGAUAUUGCACAAUGGGGGAAACCCUGAUGCAGCGACGCCGCGUGGGCGAAGAAGUAUUUCGGUAUGUAAAGCCCUAUCAGCAGGGAAGAAGAAAUGACGGUACCUGAGUAAGAAGCACCGGCUAAAUACGUGCCAGCAGCCGCGGUAAUACGGAUGGUGCAAGCGUUGUCCGGAUUUAUUGGGUUUAAAGGGUGCGUAGGCGGAAGGUUAAGUCAGCGGUCAACUGUCGGUGCUCAACACCGGCCUGCCGUUGAAACUGGUCUUCUUGAGUGAGCGAGAAGUAUGCGGAAUGCGUGGUGUAGCGGUGAAAUGCAUAGAUAUCACGCAGAACUCCGAUUGCGAAGGCAGCAUACCGGCGCUCAACUGACGCUGAGGCACGAAAGCGUGGGGAUCGAACAGGAUUAGAUACCCUUGUAGUC